Molecule: ribosomal RNA, 669 nt
Filed under: uncultured Alphaproteobacteria bacterium
Lineage: Bacteria; Pseudomonadati; Pseudomonadota; Alphaproteobacteria
Description: partial 16S ribosomal RNA
Rfam family: Bacterial small subunit ribosomal RNA
Source: RNAcentral
UCUGGCUCAGACCGAACGCUGGCGGCAUGCCUAACACAUGCAAGUCGAACGAGACCUUCGGGUCUAGUGGCGCACNGGGUGCGUAACGCNGUGGGAAUCUACCCUUGGGUUCGGAAUAACUCAGAGAAAUUYGAGCUAAUACCGGAUGAUGACGUAAGUSCAAAGAUUUAUCGCCCAAGGAUGAGCCCGCGUAKGAUUAGCUAKUUGGUGAGGURAAGGCUCACCAAGGCGACGAUCCUUAKCUGGUCUGAGAGGAUGAUCAGCCACACUGGGACUGAGACACGGCCCASACUCCUACGGGAGGCASCAGUGGGGAAUAUUGGACAAUGGGCGAAAGCCUGAUCCAGCAAUGCCGCGUGAGUGAUGAARGCCUUAUGGUUGUAAAGCUCUUUUACCCGGGAUGAUAAUGACASUACCGGGAGAAUAAGCUCCGGCUAACUCCGUGCCAGCAGCCGCGGUAAUACAGARGGAGCUAKCGUUGUUCGGAAUUACUGGGCGUAAAGCGCACGUAUGCGGCUUUGUAAGUAAGAGGUGAAAGCCUGUAGCUCAACUCCAAAACUGCCUUUUAGACUGYAUCGCUCKAAUCCACCAGAGGUGAGUGGAAUUNCNAGUGUAKAGGUGAAAUUCRYAGAUAUUCNGAAGAACACCACUGGCGAAAGCGGCUCACUG